UGCAAGUCGAACGAUGAACUCCAGCUUGCUGGGGGGAUUAGUGGCGAACGGGUGAGUAACACGUGAGUAACCUGCCCUGGACUCUGGGAUAAGCGUUGGAAACGACGUCUAAUACCGGAUAGGACUCCUGACCGCAUGGUUGGGGGUGGAAAGUUUUUCGGUCUGGGAUGGACUCGCGGCCUAUCAGCUUGUUGGUGAGGUAAUGGCUCACCAAGGCGUCGACGGGUAGCCGGCCUGAGAGGGUGACCGGCCACACUGGGACUGAGACACGGCCCAGACUCCUACGGGAGGCAGCAGUGGGGAAUAUUGCACAAUGGGCGAAAGCCUGAUGCAGCAACGCCGCGUGCGGGAUGACGGCCUUCGGGUUGUAAACCGCUUUUAGUAGGGAAGAAGGGCUUCGGCUUGACGGUACCUGCAGAAAAAGGACCGGCUAACUACGUGCCAGCAGCCGCGGUAAUACGUAGGGUCCGAGCGUUGUCCGGAAUUAUUGGGCGUAAAGAGCUCGUAGGCGGUUUGUCGCGUCUGCUGUGAAAUCUGGAGGCUCAACCUCCAGCCUGCAGUGGGUACGGGCAGACUAGAGUGCGGUAGGGGAGAAUGGAAUUCCUGGUGUAGCGGUGGAAUGCGCAGAUAUCAGGAGGAACACCGAUGGCGAAGGCAGUUCUCUGGGCCGUAACUGACGCUGAGGAGCGAAAGCGUGGGGAGCGAACAGGAUUAGAUACCCUGGUAGUCCACGCCGUAAACGUUGGGCGCUAGAUGUGGGGACCUUUCCACGGUUUCCGUGUCGUAGCUAACGCAUUAAGCGCCCCGCCUGGGGAGUACGGCCGCAAGGCUAAAACUCAAAGGAAUUGACGGGGGCCCGCACAAGCGGCGGAGCAUGCGGAUUAAUUCGAUGCAACGCGAAGAACCUUACCAAGGCUUGACAUAACCGAGAACGCCCUAGAAAUAGGGAACUCUUUGGACACUCGGUUACAGGUGGUGCAUGGUUGUCGUCAGCUCGUGUCGUGAGAUGUUGGGUUAAGUCCCGCAACGAGCGCAACCCUCGUCGCAUGUUGCCAGCACGUAAUGGUGGGAACUCAUGUGAGACUGCCGGGGUCAACUCGGAGGAAGGUGGGGAUGACGUCAAAUCAUCAUGCCCCUUAUGUCUUGGGCUUCACGCAUGCUACAAUGGCCGGUACAAAGGGCUGCGAUGUCGUAAGGCGGAGCGAAUCCCAAAAAGCCGGUCUCAGUUCGGAUUGAGGUCUGCAACUCGACCUCAUGAAGUCGGAGUCGCUAGUAAUCGCAGAUCAGCAACGCUGCGGUGAAUACGUUCCCGGGCCUUGUACACACCGCCCGUCAAGUCAUGAAAGUCGGUAACACCCGAAGCCGGUGGCCUAACUCCUUGUGGAGGGAGCU
Molecule: ribosomal RNA, 1392 nt
Filed under: Agromyces sp.
Lineage: Bacteria; Bacillati; Actinomycetota; Actinomycetes; Micrococcales; Microbacteriaceae
Description: bacterial SSU rRNA
Rfam family: Bacterial small subunit ribosomal RNA
Source: RNAcentral